Antechinus flavipes (yellow-footed antechinus) is the source of this 5030-nucleotide RNA transcript. It is a transcript of the gene named basic proline-rich protein-like, with no coding region annotated. The transcript has 2 exons. The record is from RefSeq and is a predicted model, not a curated record. Lineage: Eukaryota; Metazoa; Chordata; Mammalia; Dasyuromorphia; Dasyuridae.
AGUCUUCCUCCUGCUGAAGCGUAAACCUUGGGCUCUGAAACUGUCCCAGCAGCCCACAAGUUCUGGUCAGCCCCGCAAGCUGGAGAGGGUUCAAGUGGGAGCCCGGGGAGUGACGGGCACUGAAGGGCGACUUGAGAGCGCUGAACUAUUUUAGGUCAUAGUGACUUCUAACUUGGGGAGGGGGUAGGACCACUCAUACUGAAGACACAGAAGAUAAUUUGAAGUAAUAAAUCUCCCCAACUGGACGUUUCUAAUUGCCACAUGUAAACUUCUCCUGCAUCUGUCUCAUCACCACUCUAGGGCACCCUCCUCAUCCUCUCUUAUGUAAACUGUUAAAAUAGCCUCUUUGCCUUCAGUGUCACUCGAUUCCAAUCUAUGCUCUACAUAGCUGUCAAAAUGGGUUUCUUUUUAAGCCCAAGGCUGACCACUUCCCUACCCUCUCCAAAAAACUCCAAUGGCUCCCUGUGGCCUGGAGGAUCACAUAUGAACUCUUGGCUCGAUCCAGUCCCCUUCACAAGGGGCCCGGGUUUCCUUCCCCGCCCUCUCUGGUCCAGCCAGCUAACCUAGCUGAUCACUCAAUGCCUUUGCCCCGGCCCUCUCUCACCCCGGAACGUGACUGCCUCAUUUCCCUGGGGGAGACACAGCUCUGGAACUCCCUGCAUUAUCCUCUGAAAGGUGGGGAAUCAAGGUUUAUGCCAGGCUGCCUCCGGGUAUUCCAGGGCAGAGCAGAGAUGACAAGGAAUACGGGAGCUCAGAAAGAGCUUCCGCAGUGUGGGAAGGCUGCCCAGAGGAGGAGGAAUAUCUGCUUAAUGUGGAAGGGCUGGGGGCGACACUGCACAAUUUAGCAAAGAAAGGAAAUGCCUUUGGGACCAGGAAGAGAAUUACCAAAGGAAAGUGCUCAGGAGGGGUUGGGCGUGGGGAAGAGAGGGGUCAGCCUGAACCAAGGCGUGGUGCAGGGAUAGGUACCCCUGGGCAGACAGGCUGGGGUUAGGAAGGUACGAUGGCAGUUCAGAGUGUGCAGGGAGCUUUCGGGGACCACUAGACGUGGGGCUCGGAUGCCAAGGGGGAGGCUGGGGAACCCCUGCCUGCCCCCAGUGUUUCUGAAGGGACUGUUAGGAUGGAGCCGGGACUAAUGCCAGGAGAUCAGGAUGCCCGUCCUGUCCUGGGCAACUGCUGAGGAACAAGGGAGGCAGGGAGUGGGAGGAAUCCUCAGCUAGAAAUUGACUACGGGAUAUAGGACCAACCCCGUGUCAGUUUCCUUUUAUUUUAAAUGAAGGGGGAGGGGCAGCUAGGUGGCUCAGUGGAUAGAGCAUCUGCCCUGGAGUCAAGAGGACCUGAGUUCAAAUCUUGCCUCAGACACUUAACUCGUCCUGGCUGUGUGACCCAGGGCAAGUCACUUAACCCCAACUGCCUUCCAAAUAAAUAAAUGGAUGAAUGAAUGAAGGGUGGCCUGAGGUGAUCUCUAAUCCAAAAAUCCAUUGACCCUGGCCCAUGGUCUGUCCUUCCUCUGGAUCCUUAGUGCUGUCAGUAUCACUCACUGGGUCUGAGAUUACAGACUGCUAAUUGUACCUUUCUCUGUCCACUUCUCUCUACUUCCAUAGUUACUGGAAGAAAGGGACCUCACCUGCUGCAGUGAAGAAGAAAUGGGAGUUAGAGAAGAGAAGCCUUGGGUUGAGAACCUGGCUUUGGCACCUUCUGUGUGGCUUUAAGCCAUCUGUUUCUGCUCUCUGAGCCUUAUAAAUGAGGGCUGUCUAAAAAGCUUCUCGCUACAGUGAUAACGUCUGCCCUGACAAUAUUAGUUUGUUACAACAAACAAGGCAUUAUAAAAUGCUGUCACCUGACCGACUCUAUAAAUGUAUUAUUAUGAGUUCUUCUUAUUAGCUCUUUAUCCCCUAUGAUGCCCCACAUUUUGGGGUGACUCUUCCUCCAGAUCAGCAUCUUCUCUGGGAAUGACCGCCUUUGGGACGAGGCGCGAUCAGGGUCCCAUUUGUUAGGGAGUAACUUCACAGGCUUCAGAUUGUCAGAAUAGGAAGGUGCCUCAGAAAUGAAGUGGUCUGAAGGAGAGGCACAAGACAGACUUUAUUUUAGAACAAUCUUAGUCUUUAGAACUGAGAGCACAUACACAUUUUUAUGAGAUCACAAGGAUGCUUGGGAGACAAAGUGUUUUCAAAUGUAAAACAUGGCUCUCACAGUUUGAGAACAGGAACCCAGAAACCACAGAAUGUUCAAACAUCCCUGACAUUUUCUCACUAUUUCUUAAUCCACUCCUCCUUUGUAAGAAUGGGAAGCUGUGCCAGGUAGACUUGAAGCAAAACUCAGGCAAUCUCCUGUUUCUCUUUGUUUUAAAGAAGUGAAAUCUUUAGGUCGAAGUGCCUGGUACUUGCUUAUUUUACAAAUGGGGAAGCUGAGACCCAAAUUUAUCAAGAGAGCCAGAAGUAAGAUCUUGAGCAAUUGUCAAUUGUUUGCUGGGUGAACAUCAUUCCCUUUUUCAGAUAUACAAGUAAUAGAAUUCUCAUUUCAGCCAAGGCAUUAGGAUUUACUUUAGCUAACUAUGGAUAGAGAGUGGUACUUGGAGCUUGAAUUCUUCUUCAGAUUCUGUAAAAUGGGAAUUAUUUAAUAGCACCUAACUCACAGGUUAGUAACAGGAGCAAAUGAGCUGACAUAAAUAUAAAGUGCUUUACAAACCUUAAAGAAAUCAGUAAACACUAGCUAUUGUGAUUAUAAAGCAUUUUCCUUGCAACAAUCCUGAAUACAGUAUUUAAUUCUAUUUUCCAGAGGUGCUCAGGCUCAGAAGCAUUUAAAGGGCUUGCCCAAGAUCAUGCAAUUAGGAGAAGGACAGAUAACACAUUGGGUAACAAUAAAGUCAGGAAUCAAAGAGAUUUGGCAGUCUGGAAGGCUGGGCUUAACUUAAUGAUGAUAUUCAAUAGGAUUAAGGGGAGUUUACUUUGGGGUUUCUCAGGAUGGAAGACAGCAGAGUUUUUGGGACUGACUUCCAGCUCUGCAGUGGGACGUCCUAGCCCAAAGAGCAGCUUGUUCUCUGGCUCCAUCUUCCCAGGAAGGAGUGAUAGGUCGGUGCAGACCCUAUCUGGAAUAUCUGUCUAGUUCGGGAUGCCGGGGUUAAGAAGGCUUAAGACUUUGCCUUCUGGAUGCCCCGGGUUAAGACUCUUAGAGGGAGGACAAGCUGCAGGGCAAAGGCCAGCCCUGGGUCCGGGACAGGGGAAUGGGCUGAUAGCUGUCUUUUGAGGGUAUGCAGGGCUCUCCAGGAGGAGGGAGUAGCCUUUUUCUGGGUGGCCCCAGACGGCGGGCAGAAACCAAAAAGCAAAGUGAAGUCAGGCAAAGUCCCUUUGUCUGCCUGGGAAGAUGGUGGUUCCGGGCCCAGGGCGUCUCCAAGGCCCGCAGACUGCUCCCGGGGGGAUGCCCAGGAGCACGGCUUCUGGUCAUGGCGGCAAAUGCCGCGGCUCGGGCAAAAAGCAGGGCCUGGCAGAGUCAGACCAACGCAGGCUGGCUGGGGACGCGCCGGGGCCACCUCAGUGCGCUCCGGGGGGCCUCCCUUCUUCCCUCCAAUCAGCUGCCUCCCUUAUGGGCCCCCAAGGCAGGUGAGCUUCGGGUUUUCGGGCCUGAAAGGAACGAGGAGGGCUGCUCCUCCCCUGCCCCUCCCCCCUUUGUCCGGUUACUUGGGACCCUGGUCCAUCGUUAGCAUUUUCCCUCCCGUCACAUUCCAGCACGUCCGCACUCUCUCUCCGGCUCCCGGACGCCCAGUCGGGGUCCGAGGAGGGCCUGGGCCCCCCGUGGGGGCUCCUUCCCAGUCCGCACCAGCAGCUCCGGGACUCCUCCGCAGUCAGCUCACGACCAGGUUCCUUCUCCACCCCAACUCUCGCCUUCUUAGAGCGAAUCUGAAACCAGUUUCUCCACUCUGGGAACAGGAGUGGGUCAAAGCCCGUCCCACCCAACCGAACUUGCCCCGGGAGCCAGAAUUCCUAGCGAAAGGCGCGCCCAGAUUCCCAGUCCAGCUGCACUCCGCCCAGCUACUCGGAGGUCUAUAGCAAGGACGUGGUUGGCUAGGCUCAGUUUCUCCUUCGGUGAAAUGGGCACAAUAGGUCUCUAUGCUCAGCCUCCGCCUUCCAGCAAGUGCGUCUGGGUAAACGGCCCUGGGGAAUUUACUUAAUCACUGAACACCAGACUCCCCGCUGGGGACGGGGAGAGGGGAGGAGACAGGGGAAGGGUUGGGGGGCUGGGGCUGGCGCGUCCCCACCUCUCUUCCUAGAAGGCAUCAAGGCAGUCCGUGUUUUUUUCCUGGGGACAAUUCGCAGAAGGGACGGGGAGUGGUUGCUAGGGCAACGGAGUUGCGUCACCCCUCGGGGGAAGAGGCGGAGGCCGGUGGUGAGCCGGGGUUCUAUGGGCCGAGGGGCUGUUCUCCCUCGCGCACCACCCCGGGGACUUGCGGCAGGGCUCCGAGGGCGGAGGCGGGGGCGGAGCCUCUACAAUCAGCCAAUCCCGGCCGUCGACUACGAGAAAAACACGGCUGGAUAGUGGAGGCGAGAAGGGAAAGGCGGGUCCCGCCCCCUUCCGCCCCUCUCAUCUCCCACUCGGGUGACGUCACUGAAUCGCUAGCGACUCCUGGUGGCCUAUUGGUCCCGCGCAGGAGCUUCCGGUUCUUUUGACACAUCUGCUGGGUCUCUAUAGAAACCCUACAUCAGGAUGAAGGAGAUGGUCUCGGAGAAAUCUGGGAGGACUUAACGCCCGCCACUGUGAGCGGGACAAAGAUCCGUGGUCAUUCCAAAGGACCCAUGGUGCAAAGUGCAUCCCCCUCUGGGAGAGAACUGACCAGUGCCGGCCGGCAGACUGAAGCCUUAUGUUUUUACAUUCUAAUUUUUUCUUUUUGAGGGACAACAUUGUUAUAUGGAAAUAUAUUUUGUAUGAUCUCAUACAUAUAUUUAUCAUGCUGCUUGCCUUCUCAAUGAGUAAGGAAGGGCCUGGAGAGAGCAAGGGAGAGAAUGUGGAACUGAAAAUAAAUUUUAAAAAAUCAUAAA